GAAUUAGAGAAUAAAAUCCCAGCACGAUGUUUCUCAUUGGAGACACCAGUCCAGCUGAGGACAAUAGAGAAGCCGCCCUUCCUCAAUGUUCAGAAAACAAUUCAUGAAUCUAAGGGAUCUGGAAUGGAGAUAUUUUAAGGGGCUUGCGAAGUGGAGGCGCACUACUGCAAUUUCAUUCAGAGACAUAAAAUACAACACUGAGAAGAGAUUUGUAGAGAGCCAGGACAUGCCUGAUAUUAUUUUCCCCCCUAUAGUUCGCAAGUCUUUGGUCAUUUAUCCUCAAACUGAUUAUCAAAAUGAAGGAAGUUAUUGUCUUAAAUGGAAUAUGUAGUGUAUUAAAAUAUUUUGGAUAUAGA
Molecule: small RNA, 356 nt
Filed under: Pongo abelii (Sumatran orangutan)
Lineage: Eukaryota; Metazoa; Chordata; Mammalia; Primates; Hominidae
Description: processed transcript
Source: RNAcentral